UGGGGAAUAUUGGACAAUGGGCGCAAGCCUGAUCCAGCCAUGCCGCGUGUGUGAAGAAGGCCUUUUGGUUGUAAAGCACUUUAAGCGAGGAGGAGGCUACUUGGAUUAAUACUCUAGGAUAGUGGACGUUACUCGCAGAAUAAGCACCGGCUAACUCUGUGCCAGCAGCCGCGGUAAUACAGAGGGUGCGAGCGUUAAUCGGAUUUACUGGGCGUAAAGCGUGCGUAGGCGGCUUUUUAAGUCUGAUGUGAAAUCCCUGAGCUUAACUUAGGAAUUGCAUUCGAUACUGGGAAGCUAGAGUAUGGGAGAGGAUGGUAGAAUUCCAGGUGUAGCGGUGAAAUGCGUAGAGAUCUGGAGGAAUACCGAUGGCGAAGGCAGCCAUCUGGCCUAAUACUGACGCUGAGGUACGAAAGCAUGGGGAGCAAACAGG
RNAcentral lists this ribosomal RNA (430 nucleotides) under bacterium. Its description in RNAcentral is "partial 16S ribosomal RNA". It matches the Rfam family "Bacterial small subunit ribosomal RNA", at positions 355 to 776 of the family's 1533-position model. The record is from RNAcentral.